RNAcentral lists this ribosomal RNA (396 nucleotides) under uncultured bacterium. RNAcentral describes it as "bacterial SSU rRNA". It matches the Rfam family "Bacterial small subunit ribosomal RNA", at positions 28 to 428 of the family's 1533-position model. The record is from RNAcentral.
GACGAACGCUGGCGGCGUGCUUAACACAUGCAAGUCGAGCGGUAAGGCCCUUUCGGGGUACACGAGCGGCGAACGGGUGAGUAACACGUGGGUGACCUGCCCUCAGCUCUGGGAUAAGCUUGGGAAACCGGGUCUAAUACUGGAUAUGACUCCAUGACGCAUGUUGUGGGGUGGAAAGCCUUGUGCGGCUGAGGAUGGGCCCGCGGCCUAUCAGCUUGUUGGUGGGGUGAUGGCCUACCAAGGCGACGACGGGUAGCCGGCCUGAGAGGGCGACCGGCCACACUGGGACUGAGACACGGCCCAGACUCCUACGGGAGGCAGCAGUGGGGAAUCUUGCGCAAUGGGCGAAAGCCUGACGCAGCGACGCCGCGUGAGGGAUGACGGCCUCGGUUGUAA